This 529-nucleotide ribosomal RNA is filed under the name uncultured bacterium. RNAcentral's name for it is "partial 16S ribosomal RNA". It matches the Rfam family "Bacterial small subunit ribosomal RNA", at positions 355 to 900 of the family's 1533-position model. The record is from RNAcentral.
UAGGGAAUCUUCCACAAUGGACGCAAGUCUGAUGGAGCAACGCCGCGUGAGUGAAGAAGGUCUUCGGAUCGUAAAGCUCAGUCUUUUGGGACGAUAAUGACGGUACCAAAGGAGGAAGCCACGGCUAACUACGUGCCAGCAGCCGCGGUAAUACGUAGGUGGCGAGCGUUGUCCGGAUUUACUGGGCGUAAAGGGUGCGUAGGCGGAUGUUUAAGUGAGAUGUGAAAUACCCGGGCUUAACUUGGGUGCUGCAUUUCAAACUGGAUAUCUAGAGUGCAGGAGAGGAGAAUGGAAUUCCUAGUGUAGCGGUGAAAUGCGUAGAGAUUAGGAAGAACACCAGUGGCGAAGGCGAUUCUCUGGACUGUAACUGACGCUGAGGCACGAAAGCGUGGGUAGCAAACAGGAUUAGAUACCCUGGUAGUCCACGCCGUAAACGAUGAGUACUAGGUGUAGGAGGUAUCGACCCCUUCUGUGCCGCAGUAAACACAUUAAGUACUCCGCCUGGGAAGUACGAUCGCAAGAUUAAAAC